AUUGAACGCUGGCGGCAUGCCUUACACAUGCAAGUCGAACGGCAGCGGGCCUUCGGGUGCCGGCGAGUGGCGAACGGGUGAGUAAUGCAUCGGAACGUGCCAUUGAGUGGGGGAUAACGUAGCGAAAGUUACGCUAAUACCGCAUAUUCUGUGAGCAGGAAAGCAGGGGACCGCAAGGCCUUGCGCUCUUUGAGCGGCCGAUGUCAGAUUAGCUAGUUGGUGAGGUAAAGGCUUACCAAGGCGACGAUCUGUAGCGGGUCUGAGAGGAUGAUCCGCCACACUGGAACUGAGACACGGUCCAGACUCCUACGGGAGGCAGCAGUGGGGAAUUUUGGACAAUGGCGCAAGCCUGAUCCAGCCAUGCCGCGUGAGUGAAGAAGGCC
This 383-nucleotide ribosomal RNA is filed under the name uncultured bacterium. RNAcentral describes it as "bacterial SSU rRNA". It matches the Rfam family "Bacterial small subunit ribosomal RNA", at positions 30 to 416 of the family's 1533-position model. The record is from RNAcentral.